This 908-nucleotide ribosomal RNA is filed under the name uncultured bacterium. Its description in RNAcentral is "bacterial SSU rRNA". It matches the Rfam family "Bacterial small subunit ribosomal RNA", at positions 33 to 930 of the family's 1533-position model. The record is from RNAcentral.
ACGCUGGCGGCAUGCUUUACACAUGCAAGUCGGACGGCAGCACAGAGAAGCUUGCUUCUUGGGUGGCGAGUGGCGAACGGGUGAGUAACAUAUCGGAACGUACCGAGUAAUGGGGGAUAACUAAUCGAAAGAUUAGCUAAUACCGCAUAUUCUCUGAGGAGGAAAGCAGGGGACCUUCGGGCCUUGCGUUAUUCGAGCGGCCGAUAUCUGAUUAGCUAGUUGGUGGGGUAAAGGCCUACCAAGGCGACGAUCAGUAGCGGGUCUGAGAGGAUGAUCCGCCACACUGGGACUGAGACACGGCCCAGACUCCUACGGGAGGCAGCAGUGGGGAAUUUUGGACAAUGGGCGUAAGCCUGAUCCAGCCAUGCCGCGUGUCUGAAGAAGGCCUUCGGGUUGUAAAGGACUUUUGUCAGGGAAGAAAAGGCUGUUGCUAAUACCGACAGUUGAUGACGGUACCUGAAGAAUAAGCACCGGCUAACUACGUGCCAGCAGCCGCGGUAAUACGUAGGGUGCGAGCGUUAAUCGGAAUUACUGGGCGUAAAGCGAGCGCAGACGGUUACUUAAGCAGGAUGUGAAAUCCCCGGGCUCAACCUGGGAACUGCGUUCUGAACUGGGUGACUAGAGUGUGUCAGAGGGAGGUAGAAUUCCACGUGUAGCAGUGAAAUGCGUAGAGAUGUGGAGGAAUACCGAUGGCGAAGGCAGCCUCCUGGGAUAACACUGACGUUCAUGCUCGAAAGCGUGGGUAGCAAACAGGAUUAGAUACCCUGGUAGUCCACGCCCUAAACGAUGUCAAUUAGCUGUUGGGCAACUUGAUUGCUUAGUAGCGUAGCUAACGCGUGAAAUUGACCGCCUGGGGAGUACGGUCGCAAGAUUAAAACUCAAAGGAAUUGACGGGGACCCGCACAAGC